Molecule: transfer RNA, 71 nt
Filed under: Schistocephalus solidus
Lineage: Eukaryota; Metazoa; Platyhelminthes; Cestoda; Diphyllobothriidea; Diphyllobothriidae
Rfam family: tRNA
About the family: Transfer RNA (tRNA) molecules are approximately 80 nucleotides in length.
Source: Rfam by way of RNAcentral
GCGCCGAUGGUUCAGUGGUAAAAUGCUCGCCUGCCACGCGAGCGGCCCGCGUUCGAUUCCCGGCCAGCGCA